UUUAUCAUUUAUUCCCCCAGAUCAAAUGUUCCUUUCUUCUGUCAUGGAGCAAGUAUCAGCUAUUGAUUACAAAAGCCACCCAUUACAUCAGUAAUACAUUGCAAAGACUUUAGACUUUCGAUACAGUAUUUUUAUUCAACAUAUAAUUUGCAGAUUCUAGGUAUAGCAACUUUAAAACUAAAUUGAUAAUGUGUAAUUUGUUUAAAUAGAUACUUCUUACAUUUAACUCACCUUCGUUGCUCAUUGUGCCCAAUGUUUCAUGCAAAAAUAAUGGAAUUUCUAUCGCUUCCAGCUCGUCUGCGAUAAAGCAAGCAAACACCACGUGAUAUGCCAUGACUGACGUAAUUGCCGCAAACUACGGGAGCCACAACGUGUCCGGCUUCAUAUCUCCGUUUGCAGAUCCUCCCCGCCUGCACGCGGCAAUUCUCGCAGAUCGGUUACAUCCAGCAGCAGCCGAUGUCGAACACACCUAAUAUUUAUAUGUCUGUGUUCUGGCUGGCCUUGAGUGACGCAAUCACGCUUUAAGUGACGUAAUUUGAAAGCGAGCGCGAGAUCUUGCCGACGAGACGACUGUCAUUGCUGCAGUUUUUGCCGUUGAGAAAGCGAUCCUUAUGGAUUUACAAACACAAGAUGUUCUGCAUGAUCGGGUGAUUGAUUAAUUAAACAGGAAAGAAGGACUGAUUUUCACUUCAAGUAAAUUGAGUGAGGUAAUGGAUAUGCAUUAUGUGAAGACAAGAUCAGGCAAGGAGCAUCAUCAGCAACAGGUUCCUCCAGGACCCGGGACAACGCAUCAGGACCCUGGUUGAGACAACCUUUCCUGUGAUGAACUUGAAAACAGAACUGUUGCAGGCGGAGUGUCCAGCGGGUAAGGCGUGAGGAGGUCUUAGGGCAGUUGAACGCCCAGGCGAGAGCCGCAUGGUCCGUGAAGACGUCGAAGGGUCUUCCCUCCAGGUAAUGUCUCCACUUUUCCACCGCCCAAACCACUGCUAGACAUUCUUUUUCUGAAGUGCUGUAAUUCUUUUCUGCUCCAGUUAAGGUCCUUGAUGCAUAUGCCACCACCUUUUCACCCUCCUCAGAAUGUUGAGUAAGGAUGGCUCCCAGUCCUACCUCACUUGCGUCGGUAUGAACCUGGAAGGGUUGGUUAAUAUCAGGUUGUAUUAGGACCGGUGAAUUUUGCAAGGCUUGUUUUAGUUCUUCCAUGCUAGCUUGACACUCUGGGGUCCAUUCCCACUUAACUCCUUUCUUUUUUAGGAGGUUCAAUGGAGCAGUAAUGUCAGCAAAGUGGGAAAUAAACUUAUGGUACCAGCCUGCCAGUCCCAGAAAUCAUUGCAAAGCUUUAAGAUCUUGCGGUGGGGGAAACUCUGCAAUGACCCUGGUCUUCUCUCGGUCCACCUCCACUCCCCUCUCAGAGAUUAUAUGGCCGAGGAAGUUGAGCUGUCGUUUGAAGAAGUGGCAUUUCUUCAUGCUCUGUGUCAGAUUGGCUUGGGUCAGCCGUUGCAGAACCAUAUCUAGGUGUUGAAAAUGUUGUUCAAGUGAUUUGGAAUAGAUUAUAUCGUCAAUGUAUACAAAACAUAUUCUCCCUCUCAGAUCAGACAGUACUCUCUCCAUCAACCGUUGGAAGGUAGCAGCGGCAUUGGAUAAGCGUCGGGUACGGUCUUGCUGUUCAGCUUCCUGUAAUCCACACAGAACCUGUAAGAGCCAUCAGGUUUGGGGACCAGGACUACCGGUGAAGACCACGGUGAAAAGGAGGGUUCAAUGAUAUCGUCCCGUAGCAUCAGGUCUACUUGUUCUUCAAUAAUCUGCUUCUUCAGAGGAGACACGCGGUAUGCACGGGACUUGAGGGGUAUGUCAUCUGAUAAUGUGAUUUUAUGUUGUACAAUAGAGGUCUUACCCAGGGUGUUUGAAGUGGUGCGUGGCCAGGCGGAGAUUAACUUCAUUAACUCCUCCUGAUUGUCAGAAUCCCACUCAGUGAUCUCGGUGGAAACGGACAUGAGUUCGGGAAGUCUACCAGUUGCGGGUAAGGCAUAGUAUAAAUUCAGCUUUGCAGCCAUAUGAGAAAGAACUGGACCAGACGGGUUGGCUGGACCUGUUGGAAUCUGUGACGGCAAGAAAGGGUAAUAGGUGUAUCCUUUGUCAGAUCUUAACCCAUAUCUGCCACGUCCCACUUCCAGGACUGCUCCCGUGGCAAUCAGGAAAUCCAGACCAGCAAUAAGAGGAAAGGCGAGGUGAGUGUCUUUAAGGAUAUAAGUAUCCAUACUGCAUUCGUGGUCAUGCCAUUGAAACCUAAUCCUUUGCAGGUCUCUGGACUGGUGAAUUGUUCCGUCGGCCAUAAUGAACCUCUGUGGGCUGAAGGCACCACAAGGAGAGAUGACACUGGAUGGGGUUGAGCUAGUGUUACUCCGGCCAGGUUUUUAUUGAAGGUACGUUCAGCAGAUUUCUUGUUGGUCUUUUCUUUGCUGCUCUGAGUUCCCACUUUCUGCCAGUAGUCUUUAGCUCCCAUAUAGUCCUUUUCCACCAUGGAUCCGAUUUUCACCAGGUGUUCAACAGAGUUAACUGUUCCCCUCAUACACCCGGCGACUCUGGGGUUGAUGUUGUUCAGUAUACGAUUUACUAGCUCCUCUUCAGAGAUUUCUAGCUUCCAUUUCAGACAUAAGGCCCGGUAGUCAUAUGCAAAGUCCCUCAGGCGUUGCCGUGGCUGCUGUACCAUCGUCCUCAGUUUUUCCUCCACUUCUGAGAGGUAAUCGUCUGGGAGAAAAGCAGCCAUGAAUGCCUUUUUGAAGGACCUCCAAUCCGUUACCUUGACCUUUUCUGCCUUCCACCAGCUCAGAGCGGGUCCCUUCAGUACCGUACUUAAGGUUCCUAGUAGUUCAGCACAGGGAAGGGGCCGGAUCUCCAGGAAGUUCUCACAUUGCUCGAUGAAGUUGAGCACCUCCGCCGUCUCACAGGAGUCUCCGAAAGAGGGGAACUCUAUGCGGAUAGGCGGACGGGCACAGAAUGAGGAUGCACCUGCCACUACAGAGGAGAUACUAGAGCUGGGGUCAGUGGUUGACGGACAGUGGAAAAAUGGGAGGAAUCUGGUGAAUAGGCUUGUAAUCUGGAGAGUGUGGGAGUGCUAGUGAGCCUCAUUUUUCUCAUUUGACUUUCCCAUUUUCCGCGACCCUGUAUACAGGAUAAGCGGUUGACGAUGGAUGGAUGGAUGGACUUUCCCAUUUUGCAUCUCUCCUCAGAAAACAAUCUGUUACAGCCUUUUCUAAUUUUUCCAGUGCCUUAAUGAAGAACUCCUCCAACCCUGCCAAGCUAGAGUCCACGGCCUGCCUAAAGCUUGCUUCCCUAUUCAAUGUACUGUCCAUUGACUGUUUGAAAUCUUGUUCCAAAGUAUGUAAUUUUUUAUUUAGAGCCAAUAAAUUACCUUUACAUUGAGUCAAGUCAGUAUGCAUCAAUUGUACCAUGCCUAUAUUCAGUAUGCUACCUUCAUCAUCAUCAUCAUCAGAUUGUUCAGUGUCAGACAUGUAUAAUGAACUAAUCAUUGAAGUUAUUUCUUCAGGCGGAUUACGCCUGGUUACAAAUGAACCUGUGGUAAAAUCCACCUCUGUUUGUUCAAUAUCAUUUUGGACAUUUCCAGAUUUCACAGAGUUAUCAAUAUUUUCAUCA
This is a long non-coding RNA of Xyrauchen texanus (razorback sucker), 3651 nucleotides long. RefSeq lists it as uncharacterized. The record is from RefSeq and is a predicted model, not a curated record. The transcript is spliced from 4 exons. NCBI's taxonomy places the organism in Eukaryota, Metazoa, Chordata, Actinopteri, Cypriniformes, Catostomidae.